Molecule: ribosomal RNA, 505 nt
Filed under: uncultured bacterium
Lineage: Bacteria
Description: partial 16S ribosomal RNA
Rfam family: Bacterial small subunit ribosomal RNA
Source: RNAcentral
GACGAACGCUGGCGGCGUGCCUAAUACAUGCAAGUAGAACGCACAGUUUAUACCGUAGCUUGCUACACCAUAGACUGUGAGUUGCGAACGGGUGAGUAACGCGUAGGUAACCUGCCUGGUAGCGGGGGAUAACUAUUGGAAACGAUAGCUAAUACCGCAUAAUAUUGAUUAUUGCAUGAUAAUUAAUUGAAAGGUGUAAUUGCACCACUACCAGAUGGACCUGCGUUGUAUUAGCUAGUAGGUGAGGUAACGGCUCACCUAGGCGACGAUACAUAGCCGACCUGAGAGGGUGAUCGGCCACACUGGGACUGAGACACGGCCCAGACUCCUACGGGAGGCAGCAGUAGGGAAUCUUCGGCAAUGGACGAAAGUCUGACCGAGCAACGCCGCGUGAGUGAAGAAGGGUUUCGGAUCGUAAAGCUCUGUUGUAAGAGAAGAACGGGUGUGAGAGUGGAAAGUUCACACUGUGACGGUAUCUUACCAGAAAGGGACGGCUAACUACGUG